GGUUACUGCUAUCGGUGUUCGCCUAAGCCAUGCGAGUCAUAUGUUCGUAAGAACAUGGCGUACUGCUCAGUAACACGUGGAUAACCUGCCCUUGGGUCCGGCAUAACCCCGGGAAACUGGGGAUAAUUCCGGAUAACGCACAUAUGCUGGAAUGCUUUUUGCGUAAAAUGGAUUCGUCUGCCCAAGGAUGGGUCUGCGGCCUAUCAGGUAGUAGUGGGUGUAAUGUACCUACUAGCCUACGACGGGUACGGGUUGUGAGAGCAAGAGCCCGGAGAUGGAUUCUGAGACAUGAAUCCAGGCCCUACGGGGCGCAGCAGGCGCGAAAACUUUACAAUGCGGGAAACCGUGAUAAGGGGACACCGAGUGCCAGCAUCCUAUGCUGGCUGUCCGGGUGUGUAAAAUACACCUGUUAGCAAGGGCCGGGCAAGACCGGUGCCAGCCGCCGCGGUAACACCGGCGGCCCGAGUGGUGAUCGUGAUUAUUGGGUCUAAAGGGUCCGUAGCCGGUUUGGUCAGUCCUCCGGGAAAUCUGACAGCUUAACUGUUAGGCUUUCGGAGGAUACUGCCAGACUUGGAACCGGGAGAGGUAAGAGGCACUACAGGGGUAGGAGUGAAAUCUUGUAAUCCCUGUGGGACCACCUGUGGCGAAGGCGUCUUACCAGAACGGGUUCGACGGUGAGGGACGAAAGCUGGGGGCACGAACCGGAUUAGAUACCCGGGUAGUCCCAGCCGUAAACGAUGCUCGCUAGGUGUCAGGCAUGGCGCGACCGUGUCUGGUGCCGCAGGGAAGCCGUGAAGCGAGCCACCUGGGAAGUACGGCCGCAAGGCUGAAACUUAA
RNAcentral lists this ribosomal RNA (837 nucleotides) under uncultured archaeon. RNAcentral describes it as "bacterial SSU rRNA". It matches the Rfam family "Archaeal small subunit ribosomal RNA", at positions 21 to 859 of the family's 1478-position model. The record is from RNAcentral.